CCUGGACUGUCACCUGGCGGGACUUCUCGAAUGCCUGGACGAGACAAAACACCCGUCGAAGCAAGACGGCCACAAGCACCACCAAUGAAAGGAAGUGUAGCUGAAUAUGUCAUGAAUGAACGACAAACCUGCCUGAAGCAAGAGUCCCUGGACAAUCUUGUUUUUACGUAAAAACAUGUAAAUACUGAACACCCUAAGCCAUCAUGACUUCAGUUUAUACUGGACUGCGUAGAAUCUGUGACUUGUAUAUGCUUUAUAAUGUCUCGAAGCUUUUCUUACUCUUUUGAUCGAGUGCUAUUAAAAUCUCUAUGUUGA
Long non-coding RNA from Ixodes scapularis (black-legged tick), 315 nucleotides. RefSeq lists it as uncharacterized. The transcript has 2 exons. Lineage: Eukaryota; Metazoa; Arthropoda; Arachnida; Ixodida; Ixodidae. The record is from RefSeq and is a predicted model, not a curated record.